UACAGAGGUCUCAAGCGUUGUUCGGAUUCAUUGGGCGUAAAGGGUGCGUAGGCGGCGCGGUAAGUCGGGUGUGAAAUCUCGGAGCUUAACUCCGAAACUGCAUUCGAUACUGCCGUGCUUGAGGACUGGAGAGGAGACUGGAAUUUACGGUGUAGCGGUGAAAUGCGUAGAUAUCGUAAGGAAGACCAGUGGCGAAGGCGGGUCUCUGGACAGUUCCUGACGCUGAGGCACGAAGGUCAGGGUAGCAAACGGG
This 253-nucleotide ribosomal RNA is filed under the name uncultured bacterium. Its description in RNAcentral is "partial 16S ribosomal RNA". It matches the Rfam family "Bacterial small subunit ribosomal RNA", at positions 524 to 776 of the family's 1533-position model. The record is from RNAcentral.